GCCUGGGUGGCUCAGUACGUUGAGCAUCUGACUUCGGCUCCAGUCAUGAUCUUGCAGUUUGUGAGUUCGAUCCCCACCUCGGGCU
This 85-nucleotide transfer RNA is filed under the name Felis catus (domestic cat). It matches the Rfam family "tRNA". From Rfam's summary of the family: Transfer RNA (tRNA) molecules are approximately 80 nucleotides in length. Their secondary structure includes four short double-helical elements and three loops (D, anti-codon, and T loops). Further hydrogen bonds mediate the characteristic L-shaped molecular structure. tRNAs have two regions of fundamental functional importance: the anti-codon, which is responsible for specific mRNA codon recognition, and the 3' end, to which the tRNAs corresponding amino acid is attached (by aminoacyl-tRNA synthetases). tRNAs cope with the degeneracy of the genetic code in two manners: having more than one tRNA (with a specific anti-codon) for a particular amino acid; and 'wobble' base-pairing, i.e. permitting non-standard base-pairing at the 3rd anti-codon position. The record is from Rfam by way of RNAcentral. Lineage: Eukaryota; Metazoa; Chordata; Mammalia; Carnivora; Felidae.